GGUAACAUUUCUAGCUUGCUAGAAGAUGACGAGUGGCGGACGGGUGAGUAAUACUUAGGAAUAUGCCUUUGUGUGGGGGAUAACUAUUGGAAACGAUAGCUAAUACCGCAUAACGUCUUCGGACCAAAGGGGGCUUCGGCUCCCGCGCAAAGAGUAGCCUAAGCGAGAUUAGCUUGUUGGUGAGGUAAAGGCUCACCAAGGCGACGAUCUCUAGCUGUUCUGAGAGGAAGAUCAGCCACACUGGGACUGAGACACGGCCCAGACUCCUACGGGAGGCAGCAGUGGGGAAUAUUGCACAAUGGGGGCAACCCUGAUGCAGCCAUGCCGCGUGUGUGAAGAAGGCCUUCGGGUUGUAAAGCACUUUCAGUUGUGAGGAAAGUUUGAUGGUUAAUACCCAUUAGAUGUGACGUUAACAACAGAAGAAGGACCGGCUAACUCCGUGCCAGCAGCCGCGGUAAUACGGAGGGUCCGAGCGUUAAUCGGAAUUACUGGGCGUAAAGCGCACGCAGGCGGUUUGUUAAGCUAGAUGUGAAAGCCCCGGGCUCAACCUGGGAAUAGCAUUUAGAACUGGCAGACUAGAGUCUUGGAGAGGGGAGUGGAAUUUCUGGUGUAGCG
This 615-nucleotide ribosomal RNA is filed under the name uncultured bacterium. RNAcentral describes it as "bacterial SSU rRNA". It matches the Rfam family "Bacterial small subunit ribosomal RNA", at positions 68 to 680 of the family's 1533-position model. The record is from RNAcentral.